CCUACGGGUGGCAGCAGUGGGGAAUAUUGCACAAUGGGGGAAACCCUGAUGCAGCGACGCCGCGUGAGUGAAGAAGGACUUCGGUAUGUAAAGCUCUAUCAGCAGGGAAGAAAAUGACGGUACCUGAGUAAGAAUCCCCGGCUAACUACGUGCCAGCGGCCGCGGUAAUACGUAGGGGGCAAGCGUUAUCCGGAUUUACUGGGUGUAAAGGGAGCGUAGACGGCAGUGCAAGUCUGGAGUGAAAGGCGGGGGCUCAACCCCCGGACUGCUCUUGAAACUGUACGGCUGGAGUGCAGGAGAGGUAAGUGGAAUUCCUAGUGUAGCGGUGAAAUGCGUAGAUAUUAGGAGGAACACCAGUGGCGAAGGCGGCUUACUGGACUGUAACUGACGUUGAGGCUCGAAAGCGUGGGGAGCAAACAGGAUUAGAUACCCCUGUAGUC
Molecule: ribosomal RNA, 440 nt
Filed under: uncultured bacterium
Lineage: Bacteria
Description: partial 16S ribosomal RNA
Rfam family: Bacterial small subunit ribosomal RNA
Source: RNAcentral